Molecule: non-coding RNA, 88 nt
Organism: Sporormia fimetaria CBS 119925
Lineage: Eukaryota; Fungi; Ascomycota; Dothideomycetes; Pleosporales; Sporormiaceae
Source: the annotation of a GenBank genome assembly
GGUUGUAUAGUGUAGCGGUCAUCACAUCGGAUUCUGAUCACUUUAAGUGAACAUUCCGGGAACCCCGGUUCGAUUCCGGGUACGACCU